UGAGGAAUAUUGGUCAAUGGGGGCAACCCUGAACCAGCCAAGUCGCGUGAAGGAUGAAGGUCUUAUGGAUUGUAAACUUCUUUUAUACAGGAAUAAAUUGGGGGACGUGUCCCCUUUUGCAUGUACUGUAUGAAUAAGGAUCGGCUAACUCCGUGCCAGCAGCCGCGGUAAUACGGAGGAUCCGAGCGUUAUCCGGAUUUAUUGGGUUUAAAGGGUGCGCAGGCGGGAUGUUAAGUCGGCGGUGAAAUUUUGCAGCUCAACUGUAAAAGUGCCUUCGNUACUGGCCUCCUUGAGUGUGGAUGAAGUAGGCGGAAUUUGUGGUGUAGCGGUGAAAUGCUUAGAUAUCACGAGGAACUCCGAUUGCGCAGGCAGCUUACUAAGCCACAACUGACGCUCAUGCACGAAGGCGUGGGGAUCAAACA
This 422-nucleotide ribosomal RNA is filed under the name uncultured bacterium. Its description in RNAcentral is "bacterial SSU rRNA". It matches the Rfam family "Bacterial small subunit ribosomal RNA", at positions 355 to 774 of the family's 1533-position model. The record is from RNAcentral.